UACAGAGGGGGCAAGCGUUGUUCGGAAUUACUGGGCGUAAAGGGCGCGUAGGCGGCCUGCUAAGUCGAACGUGAAAUCCCUGGGCUCAACCCAGGAACUGCGUCCGAUACUGGUUGGCUUGAAUCCGGGAGAGGGAUGUGGAAUUCCAGGUGUAGCGGUGAAAUGCGUAGAUAUCGGAAGGAACACCGGUGGCGAAAGCGGCGCGCUGGAUCCCUUCUGACGCUGAGGCGCGAAAGCCAGGGGAGCGAACGGG
This 253-nucleotide ribosomal RNA is filed under the name uncultured bacterium. Its description in RNAcentral is "partial 16S ribosomal RNA". It matches the Rfam family "Bacterial small subunit ribosomal RNA", at positions 524 to 776 of the family's 1533-position model. The record is from RNAcentral.